GACGAACGCUGGCGGCGUGCUUAACACAUGCAAGUCGAACGGAAAGGCCCUGCUUUUGUGGGGUGCUCGAGUGGCGAACGGGUGAGUAACACGUGAGUAACCUGCCCUUUACUUUGGGAUAACUUCAGGAAACUGGGGCUAAUACCGGAUAGGAGCUCCUGCUGCAUGGUGGUGGUUGGAAAGUUUCGGCGGUUGGGGAUGGACUCGCGGCUUAUCAGCUUGUUGGUGGGGUAGUGGCUUACCAAGGCUUUGACGGGUAGCCGGCCUGAGAGGGUGACCGGCCACAUUGGGACUGAGAUACGGCCCAGAGUGCUACGGGAGGCAGCAGUGGGGAAUAUUGCACAAUGGGCGGAAGCCUGAUGCAGCAACGCCGCGUGCGGGAUGACGGCCUUCGGGUUGUAAACCGCUUUAGCCUGUGACGAAGCGUGAGUGACGGUAAUGGGUAAAGAAGCACCGGCUAACUACGUG
RNAcentral lists this ribosomal RNA (468 nucleotides) under uncultured bacterium. RNAcentral's name for it is "partial 16S ribosomal RNA". It matches the Rfam family "Bacterial small subunit ribosomal RNA", at positions 28 to 507 of the family's 1533-position model. The record is from RNAcentral.